CUUAUAAAGACGAGUUUGUAGAAUCAGCACAUCAUCAAGAUCUUGUUCGCUGUAACAUGCAAAAAAUCAGAAAGUUGUUUUGCGGUGAUGGCAGCUCGGUCUUUAUCGCUUAACUUACUGCACGAUCAACUGGGUGGAUUUUACGAUUGCGGAUCCCACCGCUGUCACCAAAUAUGUUGUGCCAAGGAGUCGGGCAUAACAGAUUCGGGAUCCGCGGGGACGUCGGGAUCGGAGCUAAUUAACUUUACACACACUUUUUUUCAAAACCUUAAAAUAUUUUAUUAAUAAAUUAACUUUAUAAUUUCAUUUUUGUUUUCAAUUAUUUGAUUAUUCCCCUUAACGCCUUACAGACUUUAGAUAGACAACGAACUUAAUAUCCUUGUGAGAAUCCGGACUGCGAGCGAGCGAGUCGCGAAUCGAUUAUAUGCUCCAGUCCGAUUAUAUUCUCUCUUGGUUUUCGCAUGUUCUUGCUAAUGAGAUGCCUCUCGUCAACUUUCUCAGUAUUCUUCCGAGGUUCAGAAACAUCACGCGGAAAUAUCUUUUAAUUAAAACAUCAUUAAACGUAAUGUUUUAAUUAAACUUUCAUUUAUUUACAAUAUUUUAUUAUUAUAAUGCCGCGACGCUCAUGACAAAUAUCUCUAUCUUUAUAUUAUGCGCUAUAUCUGAUUAUAGGAUAUAACUAAUUUUAUUUUGUAAACAUCCUUAAGACCUAUCAGGAAGCUUUAGAAAGUUGAGGAAUUAGAUAGUAUAUUUAACUACUAAACUACAUUGGUUAUUGAGAGAGACAGAGAGAGAGAGAGAGAGAGAGGGGGGGGGGGACUAUUUCGUUAAAUUAUCUUUGAGAAUAAUUUUACCGUACUUUUUCCACUUAACCUUUGCCACUGUUAAAAUGUCUUAACGUUUUUUAAAUAAAUUACUUUAUUAUAUAAUAAGAUAUAGGAUACGAUCCAUUUGACGCUACAAAUGCUUCGUAGCAUUAAGUGGACCAUAAUCAUAAUGUUAUUACUAA
Long non-coding RNA from Acromyrmex echinatior (Panamanian leafcutter ant), 1009 nucleotides. NCBI's taxonomy places the organism in Eukaryota, Metazoa, Arthropoda, Insecta, Hymenoptera, Formicidae. The record is from RefSeq and is a predicted model, not a curated record.